GACAGAGGGUGCAAACGUUGUUCGGAAUUACUGGGCGUAAAGCGUGUGUAGGCGGCCCACUAAGUCGGAUGUGAAAGCCCUGGGCUCAACCCAGGAAGUGCACUCGAAACUGGUGGGCUAGAGUAUCGGAGAGGUUGGUGGAAUUCUCGGUGUAGAGGUGAAAUUCGUAGAUAUCGAGAGGAACACCGGUGGCGAAGGCGGCCAACUGGACGAAUACUGACGCUGAGACACGAAAGCGUGGGGAGCAAACAGG
Molecule: ribosomal RNA, 253 nt
Filed under: uncultured bacterium
Lineage: Bacteria
Description: partial 16S ribosomal RNA
Rfam family: Bacterial small subunit ribosomal RNA
Source: RNAcentral